This 26-nucleotide non-coding RNA is filed under the name Rattus norvegicus (Norway rat). Lineage: Eukaryota; Metazoa; Chordata; Mammalia; Rodentia; Muridae. The record is from RNAcentral.
CAGAGAAAGAGUCAAGCAUAGAACCC